CCGGGCUGCACGACCCCCUGUCGCCCUCCGCUUGGUCGCUCGUAUUCCUGAGGUAGAGCCGUUCAGCGAGAGCUAGGCUGAGCGCGGCCGCACAGCCCCUCCCUUCAGCCCUGUUGACUAACGUUCUUUGUCUGGUGACCUUUCUGCAGCGAAGUCAUGUGUAUAAUUGAGGAUUAAAUGGUAAAUGCAGUCUUUUUGCAGAACGGCUUUGCAUGGCCGUUCCCCACUCCCACAGAAGGAGUUUGUUUUCCAUCGAGUCCCUCUCAGACAUCUCCACAAACACCUUUGAUCCCAUUACGCACGAUGGCAUUCAGAGGUGCCCACUUUGCUCAUCGCUCAUCAGGUCUUGGGCUGAUGCUUACACUGGUGAGAAACGUGCAAACGGGAAAACAGCGUGGUGCUCCGCUGCAUCCAGUGCUUCCCAGUGCUCGUUCCUUGCACCCAUUUUGCUUGCUCAGUGCAUGACCCAUCUCUGUAGCACACAGGAGAUGAGAUGAGGUGAUAAGAUGGCUCUUCUUCAGUGGUAAAAUGGAGCAAACAAAAAAAAUCCUAACGCCACCCACCGUUACGAUAUGAAUGCGUGUUUCCGGAGAGAACGUUCUGGAACAACACAUUUUGCAGCAAUUGCUUUUACCUUUUUCUGACCCUUCCGUGGCCUGAAACGCUUUUUACCUCAGUGGAAAUGACUUCAGUCACCCAAAGCUGUGGAGGUGAUGGGUGCUUUUCGGAGGACACGUUCCCCAGGCUGUCUGAAAAGCAGAGGGAAGCAGAGCUGUGGCAGCUGCUGCUCCUGCUUUGCAGGAGAAAAUCAAUCAUGGUGAUUUUGAAAGAUUUAUGGAUAGGAUUUUCUUCUAAACCCCACUUUUCCAUCAUAAUGAAUCAGUACAAAUUUUCCUGUCUAAAUUACUGAUGCCUGUUUCCCUACGUGGGUCAACAGAAAGAGCUUCGUUAUGGAGGUAAGCGACUUCCUUGCCAUUAUGUGCCUCUCUUCCCUUGAGCUGAUCAUUUACCUGCUCUUAGAAUCACAGCACAGUUUUCUGAUAUCUGCUGCUUCAAUUUAGGCAUUUUUUGAGAGCGUACUCUUUUUUUUUUUUCAUGGCUUUCGUUACUCAUGAGAGUGCUGUUCUGAGGGGAGCGGGCUCUCCAGCACUGCGCAUUGCUGGCUGUGGAAUUAGGAAAGCUCAGUCAUGUGCUUCCAGGAUUUGGAGGUUUCACCAUGGUCUAUUUUUGCUACGCAUUCAAGCUCUAAUUCCUUUCUACAGGCAGCCCCUCUCCUGCACAGCUGAAGCAAAUCAAACCUUUGAUUUUAGUGGAGACGGAAGCCUGCUUAUUUGGCCACGAAGUUAGAUGGAGGGGGUUGCUGUGCUCAUGCUCUUUCUGCAAAGUGUUCCCCCAGAGAGAUCAAAUGCCCCAAAGUCUCACAGCAGGAGUAACCAUGUGCUGCAUAUCUGCGUGUUUGAUCCAGCCAGGCAGACUGUGCUUUGGCCUCAGAUGGCUGGCUGCCUGGCCUGGGCUUUUUCAGUCUGUAGGAGCGUUCUGCAAAGCAGAGAAAAGAAGCAGAGGAUGAAAAGAGAGCUGGCUACCUGGGCUGCUGCUGCGAUGGGACUGUGCUGGAGCUUUUCAGAAGGGUUGGCAGUGGAAGUGAGAGCAUCUCUUGCCAGAGAUCCUUGCCUACCUGAGGCCUUCCAAAGGUAAGCAACUCUUUUCCUUCAUUUCUGUAUUUGUGGCUGCUGCGUUUGGGCUUGUUCUCAUUUGCUGUAGCUGACGACUUUGCCACUCUGCUAUUAUCAUUCCAUUAUAGCAUUAUACAGAGAAAAAGGGAAGGGUUUGAUUUCUGAUCCUCAGCACACUGAAGUAUGCGAAGAGUGAGAUUUUCUAUUGUGAAUACUUCAGAUCACUCAACUGCAGUCACUGGUGAUAACCAGAAAAUGUGCUGGGCUUUGAAGGAGUGGUUUGUGGUGGCCAAUGCAAACCAGCACUUCAUGCUCUGCCUUGCACAGAGUGCAAUGUUCCUUUAUUGGCUCUAGGCUGUGAAGUUGUGAACAGUGGACGUGUUUAGAUGGUUCGUAACUAGACUUCAAUGCUAGUAUGUCUAAACUAAAUGUGGGGAGCUUCUAGGCUUUCAGUUGUGCUCUUUGGCUGUAUUUCAGUCACUAAGAGAGAGGUUAGUGGCAGACAGACCAUGAAGGCAUUCAAGCUGGUAGUCAGUGGGAGGCAGGUGUGUGUGUGGAGACAGCUGAAGCUGCUGUCUUCUCUUGAGAUAACAGCUGUGGAAUAUUUUUAGUGUAAGCAGUGCAAUAAAGUUGUUCCUGAUGGGUAGUGUGAGUUGUCUUUUUUUUUUUUAGCCUUGCUCAUGUUCUAGCCUGACAAAGGCAUAGACAGGCUACCCACAGUGUCAAAAAGGGUAGGAGCUCCUUGGUCGGCACUUUGCUUGUUGUCAGAAUGAGUGCCUAAUGAAAGAAGCACAUGGUACUGUUAGCUGGAGAAGUUUGAAUCUGUUCAUUUUGGUGCCUGAGGGUUUCUGUUUUCCCACUGGUUCAACUAUAGGAAUUUGUGCCUCUCAUCCUUGAGCCCCAAAACUUACUUGUCUCAAUUAAUCUGUUCUCUCUAGUGGAACUGUAGUUCUGAUGGUCUUGAGUCUUGCUCACUGAGUGGUUUGAUCAGGCAGGGCAUCAAAGGAAUCUCUCAAACUGAAAAUGCAACUUUCCAGACUUAUUUUUUUCCAACUUAGGUAAGAAGGGACUUCUAGUACUUGGAAUGCACCUCCGUGUUAACUGCUUUUUUUCAAUUGUCCUUGUUAAGGCAAUUAGGAUGUAUUUAAAUGCCAGUGCUUUUGGUAUCACAGAAGUGAAUGUCUCAUGCUGGUUGACUACCUAGACAGAUCACAGUAGAAAACCUUAUCUCAAAGCCUAGGAUAAGUCUUGGUACUGCUAUCCUUUUCAGAAGCAAAACAGCUACCAGCGGAGCACGGCUGGUACUAGCUGGUAAUAAGUCUUAUCGGAUGUUUUUGUGUAGUUCUUUGAUAUGUUUCGUAAUAUGUUCUUUAGAAUAUCUUAAGGUUGUGAAACUCAGAAGGCUGCACAUAGUCUAAAAAGGAUGGGAAACUGUGGGUGCUCUGCAAAUACAGCCAGCAUGCAGGGUGGACUAACACAAAAAGUUGAAGUUUUUGAGGGAAUACUGUGGGUAAUAAUAACUUGCCUUCUCCUGCAUCAAGGAGUUCUGGUACCUCUCACGAUGACUUUUGCUUCACCUUCUGUGUUUUUUAUAUUAAAUAUUUCUAUAUAUGUAUUUGGGUGGUGCUUGCUAUUCUUCCUGUUGACACGGGCACUUAAUCAAAACCUCCUGCUAGUACUUACGCUAGGGGUAUGCGUUUCACCUCUCACCCCUUCUCAAGUCUAUUUGCUAUGACUUUUCCACUUUUGGCUGCCUUGAGGCUUGGCUUCACCCAUGGCAUGACAUUGUUUUGGUGUGCUGCUCUGGUCCUGUUUUGGGGAUGGGGCUGUGUGAUGGCUGCACUGCAGCCUCUGUGGUUUUAGUGAGUCUCCAGGGUUUCUUAAAGUUUUGUUGUUGAUUUUGGUCUUUUGUUUCAUUAGCAAGGCAAUGGAAAUAGUGUUGCUUCUGUGGCAACUUUCAGCUGACCUUGAGUUGUAAGUACUUAGAAAUUUAUGUUCUACAUAAAUAAAAUGGAAAUUAUUAUUCUUAUGAUUAUACUGUUUUCUUAUACAGAACUUGCAGGCAAUAACCAUAAUCUCAGGA
Molecule: non-coding RNA, 3756 nt
Organism: Meleagris gallopavo (turkey)
Lineage: Eukaryota; Metazoa; Chordata; Aves; Galliformes; Phasianidae
Source: RefSeq, a predicted model, not a curated record